CGUCCGGGUGAAAAGGGAAGCCGGUGCAAUUCCGGCACAACAGCCAUUACUGUGUUUUGCGUCAAUGCCGUCGCGGAUGCCAUUGGGCCACGGCCCGAGAAGGCGCGGCGGCAGGGGAGUAUCCCCGCGCAAUCAGUCAGGAGACCUGCCAGGCUUA
RNAcentral lists this non-coding RNA (157 nucleotides) under human gut metagenome. The record is from RNAcentral.